RNAcentral lists this ribosomal RNA (488 nucleotides) under Pelagophyceae sp. RCC5282. RNAcentral's name for it is "SSU rRNA". It matches the Rfam family "Eukaryotic small subunit ribosomal RNA", at positions 640 to 1129 of the family's 1831-position model. Lineage: Eukaryota; Pelagophyceae. The record is from RNAcentral.
CCUGGCUCGGGGUAGCCGGUCCGCCUUGCAAAAGGUGCGCACUGUGCGGCCUCGGCCAUCCUUUAGAAAAGCGGUUCUGGCAUUCAGUUGUCGGGGUCGGGCUUCUAAACGUUUACUGUGAAAAAAUCAGAGUGUUCAACGCAGGCUUACGCCUUGAAUACAUUAGCAUGGAAUAAUGAGAUAGGACUUUGGCGGUCUAUUUUGUUGGUUUGCACGCCGAAGUAAUGAUUAACAGGGACGGUUGGGGUUCUUUGUAUUCAAUUGUCAGAGGUGAAAUUCUUGGAUUUAUGGAAGACAAACUGCUGCGAAAGCGUCGAACAAGGACGUUCUCAUUAAUCAAGAACGAAAGUUAGGGGAUCGAAGAUGAUUAGAUACCAUCGUAGUCUUAACCAUAAACUAUGCCGAUUCAGGAUUGGCGGUCGUUUGUUCUCGACUCCGUCAGCACUGUAUGAGAAAUCAAAAUCUUUGGGUUCCGGGGGGAGUAUGGU